Long non-coding RNA from Ooceraea biroi (clonal raider ant), 1536 nucleotides. RefSeq lists it as uncharacterized. Lineage: Eukaryota; Metazoa; Arthropoda; Insecta; Hymenoptera; Formicidae. The record is from RefSeq and is a predicted model, not a curated record.
CCGAGAUAAAUGCGUUAGCUGUUUUAUGUGUACAUUUAUUGUACAUUAUUGAUACUGCAAAACACACACAUGUGUUUUGCAUAUUACAAUGUAAUAUGUAUGUAUUGAAUACUUCAGCUUUUAGCUAAGAAGGGAUUUGAUUUUCAAUUUAUUCUUAUCCACAUUCAUUUAGUUAUCAUGCUUAUCUAUUUUCAUAUAUUAUUGCCACGAUUGCCAUAAUUUCUUUCCAACACUAAAGCAUUAUACAAGUUUGUUGUAAUAAUAAUAAGGCAUUCUCUGUUUCAGUUAUUAAAACUCUUUGUAAAAGAAAAGAAUACAUUUUUCGUAUAAAAGGAAAUUUCCUUCGUAUGAGGAAAUGUGCUGUGUACGUCGGCGCAUCACACCAGCCUCUUCUUUUCAAACGGCGCAGAAACACACAGACUCGAAGCACUCCACACCGUAGCCGGUAGAAGACUAACCGUCAAUGAUACCGACCUGCUUGCGAUCUCCGACAUUGAGAAACCGGUUCUAACAGCGCCACUUGGCAAAGACGCUUCGACGAUCUGCUACGUUUGAGGAUUUAUCACCCAGUUCGAAAAUCAAAUUCGAAAUUGUAGCAAAUUGUACAUAUCUCGUAUGUAAAUUUAUAAUAGAAUACUAUGAAAAGAGUUUUAUGGAGGAUUUACUGGCUUACUUAAGAAAAGAAGUAUUCUAAUGUAUAUACAAGAGUUACUAUUUCAAAAGAUUUCUUUUUUUAGAUUCAAAUGCUAAUUGAGAUUUUUAUCUAUAGAAACUUGUCUACUUUAUAGAUAAUAAAUCAUUUUUAUUUAGAAUUUUAAGACAGAUACGAGCAAACCUCAAUCAAAUAUAAUUUUUACAAUUAUAUAGGUCUAGACAUUCAUCAUUAUGCGUGCUAAAUUUUAUAUAUUAUUUUUGUUUAUAUUAAAUUUUAAAGUAUAAAAUCAAUUUAAAAUAAUCCAUUUAAAUUUUCCUCGAUUCAUUUCACAUAAAAAAACGUUGUUAAUUUUUACGUAUGUUUUUUUAGACAUUUAACUAUUUAAGUUAUUAAAGUGUGCUACUUCGCUCUUAUUACUUCUACUUAAAAUCAGUGACCUUACCUUAUAGACCUCAGUUAUUCUGUGCAUAUCCGAUGAAAUGUCAGUCUACAGUCAGAAUAAAUAAAACUGCAAGUAGUCGUAUUACGAUUCAUUCGGGAAGGCUUGAAAACUCAGAAACCGCACACAUGUUUAAUUUGAUCUAUAUAUGUAUAUAUAUACAUAUACAUAUAUAUUUUUCGGUAUAUAAAGGCACCUAUUACACUAUUUAAGUACAGGCGUUCUCAUUGUCAUAUAAUAAAUAAAUUAAUAUUUAUUACUUCCCUGCCGUACGUAUCCCAUUGACGCGGCUAUGUACAAAAAUUUGAAGGCGUAACAUUAGAGUGCGGGAUAUCUAAUUAUAGGCUCUAAUAGCAUAUUAGAUAUUCUACACAUACCUUGCUAUAUGUAUAUUAUAUUGUACAUGUAUAUAAUAUGCUAAUAUUCAAUCGAAUGAUGAACU